AUUGAACGCUGGCGGCAUGCUUUACACAUGCAAGUCGAACGGCCGCGCGGGCUUCGUCCUCGCCGCGAGUGGCCAACGGGCGAGUAAUUCACCCGAACGUGCCCAGCCGUUGGGGCUAGCCCGGCGACAGGCGGCUUAAUAUCGCACACGAUCUGAGGUUGAAAGCGGGGGACCGAUAGUCAUCGCGGUAUUUGCUGGGACGAUGUCGGAUUAGCUAGUUGGUUAGGUAACGGCUUACCAAGGCGACGAUCCGUAGCUGCUCUGAGAGGACGACCAGCCACACUGGGACUGAGACACGGCCCAGACUCCUACGGGAGGCAGCAGUGGGGAAUUUUGGACAAUGGGGGCAAGCCUGAUGCAGCCAUGCCGCGUGAGGGAAGAAGGUCUUCGGGUUGUAAAACGCUUUUAUUCGGGAAGAAAAACUGUGGGAGUAAACCCCGGGGUGAUGACGGUACCGGAAGAGUAAGCACCGGCUAACUACGUG
RNAcentral lists this ribosomal RNA (484 nucleotides) under uncultured bacterium. RNAcentral's name for it is "partial 16S ribosomal RNA". It matches the Rfam family "Bacterial small subunit ribosomal RNA", at positions 30 to 507 of the family's 1533-position model. The record is from RNAcentral.